GUGGGGAAUAUUGGACAAUGGGCGAAAGCCUGAUCCAGCCAUGCCGCGUGUGUGAAGAAGGUCUUCGGAUUGUAAAGCACUUUAAGUUGGGAGGAAGGGCAGUAAGUUAAUACCUUGCUGUUUUGACGUUACCGACAGAAUAAGCACCGGCUAACUUCGUGCCAGCAGCCGCGGUAAUACGAAGGGUGCAAGCGUUAAUCGGAAUUACUGGGCGUAAAGCGCGCGUAGGUGGUGUUGUAAGUUGGAGGUGAAAUCCCCAGGCUCAACCUGGGAACUGCCUCCAAAACUGCAUGACUAGAGUACGGUAGAGGGUAGUGGAAUUUCCUGUGUAGCGGUGAAAUGCGUAGAUAUAGGAAGGAACACCAGUGGCGAAGGCGACUACCUGGACUGAUACUGACACUGAGGUGCGAAAGCGUGGGGAGCAAACAGGAUUAGAAACCCGGGUAGUCC
RNAcentral lists this ribosomal RNA (450 nucleotides) under uncultured bacterium. Its description in RNAcentral is "bacterial SSU rRNA". It matches the Rfam family "Bacterial small subunit ribosomal RNA", at positions 354 to 796 of the family's 1533-position model. The record is from RNAcentral.